RNAcentral lists this ribosomal RNA (437 nucleotides) under uncultured bacterium. RNAcentral's name for it is "partial 16S ribosomal RNA". It matches the Rfam family "Bacterial small subunit ribosomal RNA", at positions 29 to 507 of the family's 1533-position model. The record is from RNAcentral.
AGCGAACGCUGGCGGCAGGCUUAACACAUGCAAGUCGAGCGGGCAUCCUUGUGGUGUCAGCGGCAGACGGGUGAGUAACGCGUGGGAACGUGCCCUUCGGUUCGGAAUAACUCGGGGAAACUUGAGCUAAUACCGGAUACGUGCGAGAGCAGAAAGGUUUAUCUGCCGAAGGAUCGGCCCGCGUCGGAUUAGCUAGUUGGUGGGGUUAUGGCUCACCAAGGCGACGAUCAGUAGCUGGUCUGAGAGGAUGAGCAGUCACACUGGGACUGAGACACGGCCCAGACUCCUACGGGAGGCAGCAGUGGGGAAUAUUGGACAAUGGGGGCAACCCUGAUCCAGCCAUGCCGCGAGAGUGAUGACGGCCUUAGGGUUGUAAAGCUCUUUUCUUCGGGACGAUAAUGACGGUACCGGAGGAAUAAGCCCCGGCUAACUUCGUG